Molecule: ribosomal RNA, 253 nt
Filed under: uncultured bacterium
Lineage: Bacteria
Description: partial 16S ribosomal RNA
Rfam family: Bacterial small subunit ribosomal RNA
Source: RNAcentral
UACGGAGGGUGCAAGCGUUAUCCGGAAUCAUUGGGUUUAAAGGGUCCGCAGGCGGGAAGAUAAGUCAGUGGUGAAAUCUCACAGCUCAACUGUGAAACUGCCAUUGAUACUGUCUUUCUUGAAUUCGAUCGAAGUGGGCGGAAUGUGACAUGUAGCGGUGAAAUGCUUAGAUAUGUCACAGAACACCGAUAGCGAAGGCAGCUCACUAGGUCUUGAUUGACGCUCAGGGACGAAAGCGUGGGGAGCAAACAGG